CUGAAAUCAGGUGGGAUUACCC
This 22-nucleotide ribosomal RNA is filed under the name Mucor endophyticus. RNAcentral's name for it is "partial 28S ribosomal RNA". RNAcentral also lists the same sequence under 3 other names. The record is from RNAcentral. Lineage: Eukaryota; Fungi; Mucoromycota; Mucoromycetes; Mucorales; Mucoraceae.